UAGCGGCGAGCGAAGCGGGAAGAGCUCAAAUUUAUAAUCUGGCACCUUCGGUGUCCGAGUUGUAAUCUCUAGAAGUGUUUUCCGCGUUGGACCGCGCAUAAGUCUGUUGGAAUACAGCGGCACAGUGGUGAGACCCCCGUAUGUGGUGCGGAUGCCCAGCGCUUUGUGAUACACUUUCGAAGAGUCGAGUUGUUUGGGAAUGCAGCUCAAAUUGGGUGGUAAAUUCCAUCUAAAGCUAAAUAUUGGCGAGAGACCGAUAGCGAACAAGUACCGUGAGGGAAAGAUGAAAAGCACUUUGGAAAGAGAGUUAACAGUACGUGAAAUUGUUGGAAGGGAAACGCUUGAAGUCAGACUUGCUUGCCGGGCAACCGGUUUGCAGGCCAGCAUCAGUUUUCCGGGGUGGAUAAUGGCAGAGAGAAGGUAGCAGUUUCGGCUGUGUUAUAGCUCUCUACUGGAUACACCUUGGGGGACUGAGGAACGCAGUGUGCCUUACGGCGGAGGUUUCGACCUCUUCACACUUAGGAUGCUGGUGGAAUGGCUUUAAACGACCCGUCUUGAAACACGGACCAAGGAGUCUAACAUGCUUGCGAGUAUUUGGGUGUCAAACCCGGAUGCGUAAUGAAAGUGAAUGGAGGUGGGAACCGCAAGGUGCACCAUCGACCGAUCUGGAUUUUUAAUGAUGGAUUUGAGUAAGAGCACGUAUGUUGG
RNAcentral lists this ribosomal RNA (708 nucleotides) under Rhodotorula sphaerocarpa. RNAcentral describes it as "eukaryotic LSU rRNA". It matches the Rfam family "Eukaryotic large subunit ribosomal RNA", at positions 84 to 812 of the family's 3401-position model. The record is from RNAcentral. Lineage: Eukaryota; Fungi; Basidiomycota; Microbotryomycetes; Sporidiobolales; Sporidiobolaceae.